UACAGAGGGUGCGAGCGUUAAUCGGAAUUACUGGGCGUAAAGCGUGCGUAGACGGUCGCGUAAGUCAGAUGUGAAAUCCCCGAGCUCAACUUGGGAAUUGCAAUGGAUACUGGCAGGCUGGAGUAUGGUAGAGGAAGGUGGAAUUCCCGGUGUAGCAGUGAAAUGCGUAGAGAUCGGGAGGAACACCAGUGGCGAAGGCGGCCUUCUGGACCAAUACUGACGCUCAUGCACGAAAGCGUGGGGAGCAAACAGG
RNAcentral lists this ribosomal RNA (253 nucleotides) under uncultured bacterium. RNAcentral describes it as "partial 16S ribosomal RNA". It matches the Rfam family "Bacterial small subunit ribosomal RNA", at positions 524 to 776 of the family's 1533-position model. The record is from RNAcentral.